AGUUCAGGCAUUUUUCAGGGGGUUUUCAGACAUUUUAAGCAUCACUAUUGUGGGCUUUGCAGUGAACUGAUGAAGAAAAUGUUUUUCAAAUUAGUUUUGUUCUGGUUGAGUUUGUGGCGUCUGACUGGAGUGAUUGCUGAUGAUGGAGAGAUGUUAGCUGCUGAAGAAAAAUCUGUCACUUUUAACUCUGAUCUUACUGAAAUGAUGGAUGAUAGUGUGAUUCAGUGGAGGUUUGUAAGUGAAAACGCUUUAAUAGCUGAAAUCAAUAAAUGGGCUGACAGGAUGACUGUGUAUGAUGAUGUUCUUGAUGGGAGAUUCAGAGACAGACUGAAGCUGGACAAUCAGACUGGAUCUCUGAUCAUCACAAACAUCACAGUGAAACAUGCUGGACGUUAUGAACUGCAGAUCAACGGUGUGAUCAAGUCCUUUAAUCUUACUGUCAUCAGACUGAAGUUCAUGUCAGUGAAAAAGCACAGUUCUGUCACUCUGAUCAAUGAUCUUAUCGAAGUGAUGGAUGUUGAUCUGAUUCAGUGGAGAGCUGGACUUAAAAGGACCUGUAAUUGCUGAAUUCAAUGUACUGGAGAAAACCAGCAGUGUAUAUGAUGAUGGCUUCUCUGGGAAAUUCAAAGACAGACUAAAGCUGGAUGGUCAAACUGGAUCUCUGACCAUCACAAACACCAGAACCACAGACAGCAGUUUUGAACUCAAGAUCAACCUUAUGAAGACAUUUUUCAUUCUCAGUGUCUACGAGGAAAUAUCAGUAAUGGAGGAAGAUUCAGUCACUCUAAACUCUGGUCGAACUGAAAUGGAUUAUAAAGAGAUUCAAUGGAGAUUUGGACUUAACAACAUUUUAAUAGCUCAAAUCAGUUUAAUGAAAGACAUGAGUGAAGUGUAUGAUGAUGUUCUUGAUGGGAGAUUCAGAGACAGACUGAAGCUGGAUCAUCAGACUGGAUCUCUGAUCAUCACAAACACCAGAAAUGAACACAGUGGAAAGUAUUAUCUAUACACUGACACAACCAAGUUUUACAAUCUCACCG
This is a long non-coding RNA of Carassius carassius (crucian carp), 1037 nucleotides long. RefSeq lists it as uncharacterized. Lineage: Eukaryota; Metazoa; Chordata; Actinopteri; Cypriniformes; Cyprinidae. The record is from RefSeq and is a predicted model, not a curated record. The transcript has 4 exons.